This 348-nucleotide unclassified non-coding RNA is filed under the name soil metagenome. RNAcentral describes it as "partial contains 5.8S ribosomal RNA, internal transcribed spacer 2, and large subunit ribosomal RNA". The stretch from base 1 to 120 matches the Rfam family "5.8S ribosomal RNA", at positions 35 to 154 of the family's 154-position model. The record is from RNAcentral.
GAUGAAGAACGCAGCGAAAUGCGAUAAGUAAUGUGAAUUGCAGAAUUCAGUGAAUCAUCGAAUCUUUGAACGCACAUUGCGCCCCCUGGUAUUCCGGGGGGCAUGCCUGUUCGAGCGUCAUUUCAACCCUCAUGCCCCUAGGGCGUGGUGUUGGGGAUCGGCCAAAGCCCGCGAGGGACGGCCGGCCCCUAAAUCUAGUGGCGGACCCGUCGUGGCCUCCUCUGCGAAGUAGUGAUAUUCCGCAUCGGAGAGCGACGAGCCCCUGCCGUUAAACCCCCAACUUUCCAAGGUUGACCUCAGAUCAGGUAGGAAUACCCGCUGAACUUAAGCAUAUCAAUAAGCGGAGGA